Molecule: long non-coding RNA, 423 nt
Filed under: Bos taurus (domestic cattle)
Lineage: Eukaryota; Metazoa; Chordata; Mammalia; Artiodactyla; Bovidae
Description: long non-coding RNA NONBTAT025367
Source: RNAcentral
GCAGCUUUUUUAGUGCUUCCAUCACCAUUUAUCAUCAAGAAAAAGAAUUCAUAAGAUGUCUGACUCAGAGCAAGCAAUAAACAGUGUGACUAUUUUGAGCCAUGACCACGUCAGCAUGGCAUCUCUUUUUAUUGUUUAACACAGCAGCAUUUGUCACUAGAUGUUUCAUAAUAUACUAUGCAUUAAUGAUGCUAAUCAACCACAAUUUUUUCCCUCAGUUAACUUGUAACACUCCCUUAUCAACACUGAGAGGAAGAUGUUAGCUAAGUCUGCCUCUAAGAGUUAGAUAUAUCCUUACAAAAGUGUACUAUUUAACUUUUGGAGAAUAGAAGGAUGUAUUUUCCCUUCUUUUUUAAAUUGAGAUAUAAGUAACAUAUAACAGGAGAUAUUUUCUGACAGUUUAAACGGUGUACUUUCAUGAGA